Small nucleolar RNA from Amaranthus tricolor (Joseph's coat), 116 nucleotides. RefSeq annotates it as small nucleolar RNA Z278. The transcript has a single exon. The record is from RefSeq and is a predicted model, not a curated record. NCBI's taxonomy places the organism in Eukaryota, Viridiplantae, Streptophyta, Magnoliopsida, Caryophyllales, Amaranthaceae.
ACCAAUGAUGAUAAAACCCAUUUGUAAUGAGGUUUAGUGGAGCUGAGACCCUGUUUAACAGGGAGAACCCCUCAGGGAAGCUACAUUCACAUGAUAUGACUGGGUUUAACUGAGGC